UUUUUUUUUUUUUUUUGAAGUACACAUUUAAAUUAUCUAGAGGGUGCAGCCUGGGUGGCCCAGUGGUUUAGCACCACCUUCAGCCCAGGGCAUGACCCUGGAGACCCAGAAUCGAGUCCCGCAUCAGGCUCUCUGCGUGGAGCCUGCUUCUCCCUCUGCUUUUGUCUCUACCUCUCUCUCUCUCUCCCCCCAUGUGUGUCUCUCAUGAAUAAAUAAAUAAAAUCUUUUAAAAAAUUAAUAAAUAAUCUAGAGGAUUUGUUACAAAAAAUACUUAACAAAAAUUGUGCACCCAAUAAUUCUACACACUGAACUGGUCAUUGUAAGACAUUAAGACUUUAAAGAAACAGAAGUACCAAGUCUUAAUAUUCUUAUAAUUUGGCUAAUAUCUUCACCUGAUUCAAAACAACCAUAAAUACUUAUAAUUGUACACCUAAGGUAAAUGCUUUAUAAUUUAUUUUCAGUACCACUCAAAAUUACACCCUUAAGUUUCUUCAAAGAUACUUUUGGCUAUGACACCUAGCCAGUAGAUCACUAUAUGCAAAUUAUUUAUCUUUGAUCAAAAAAUGCAAGUAGUCCCUACUUUUUAGCUGCUAUAAGCAGCACUGUCCCUGUUCUUCAACUCAUAGUUUUCAUCACUCUGGAGGCAAAAGUAGUUUGAACAGCCAACUUUACACACAAUCAUUUUAAGACAGCACCCAAGGAAUAUAUCUCAUUUAGAAAACAGAGAGACACCUGGGUGGCUCAGUGGUUGAGUGUCUGCCUUUGACUCAGGUCGUGAUCCCAGGGUCCUGGGAUGAAGUCCUGUAUCAGGCUCCCUGUGAGGAGCCUGCUUCUCCCCUCUGCCUAUGUCUUUGCCUCUCUCUGUCUCUCAUGAAUAAAUAAAUAAAAUCUUUAAAAAAAGAAAGAAAGAGAGGAGAGAAAGAGAGAAAGAGAGAGAGAGAGAGAGAGAGAGAAAGAAAGAAAGAAAGAAAGAAAGAAGAAAAGAAAAGAAAAGAAAAGAAAAGAAAAGAAAAGAAAAGAAAAGAAAAACAGACAACACCUAAAACAGCCAAUCCAAGUGUUGUAAUGGAAUGAAGCUCAUACUGUAUUGUUGGCAGAUUUGGCAGUUGUCUACUCUAGCGUUCCAUAAACUACAGGUCAAACCCAACCUACCUCCUGUUUUUAUGUAUAGUUGACCCUUGAAGAACAAGAGUUUGAACUGCACUGAUCCACUUACACAUGAAUUUUUUUCAAUAAAUACAGUACAGAAUUGUCAAUAUAUUUCCUCUUCUUUGUAAUGUUCUUAAUAACAUUUUUUCUCUAGCUUAAUUUAUUGUAAGAAUGUCGUGUAUGAUACAUAUAACCUACAAAAUAUGUAUUAGACUAUGUUAUCAGUAAAGCUUCAAGGCAACAGUAGGCUAUCAAUAGUUACAUCUGGAGUGAGUCAAAGGCCUACACAAAUUUUCAACUGCCCAGGAGGCUGGUACCCCAAACCCUUGCAUUGUUUGAGGGUCCGCUGUUUACUGGAACACACAAUCACACUCAUUUGCUUAUAUACUAUCUAUGGCUACUUUCACACCACAAGAGCAGAACUCAUUUGUUGCACCAGAUGUGGUCCACAAAAUCUAAAAUAUUUACUGACUGGCCCUUUGAAAAAAAAAAAAAAAAAAAAGCUUACCAACCCCUAAAACGUCUUCUCCACACAAUGAGAUGUUAGAGGCAACACAUAAUGUCUCCAAGCACCAUCUCUAAAGUAAGUGAAUUGAGCUGCUCUCAGCCUCGGUGUAGGUUUUUAGAUCAUCUGAUGCUAAAACACAAAUGUAGACCCAAGCCUCUUUAAUCAUCCAGUAUCAACCCCAAAGGUGCCAAGGCAAAGCACAAUGAGGUUACCACUCCCUCCUACCAGAGUCACACCUUUCCCACUAUCUUUACUAGUAAAUCAUGUCAACCUGAAAAUGCUGUCCUUAAAGUUAAUCUAAACAUGGUUUCACCUGCAUAAAAUAUGUUGCGGAAAAUAGAGGGGUGGAGAAGGCACCCAUAUGGCACAUAUUUCAGUCCUGUACCUUCAUCUUAGGAUCAAUUGAGAUCUGGCUCCCUACCUAAAUACAUCUCUUCCCCAGAGGGUUCUGCCAUUUGAAUUAAACUCUUAAGAAGAGACCAAAGAAGCUAGUAGGAAGGUGACAAACUGAAUGAAUUAAAGAAUACAAAAAGUGUGGAUGCGUAUAUAUUACUGACCUUACAAUCCUUACUCUUUGUUAGAGUCAACACUAAAAACAAGGCCCAUUAGCUGCAGGUUUCACCACACACACAAAAAAAAUCUUCCAGUGUCUCAUGCUUCAAAGACAGAUGAAUUUUGUCGAUGCCAAGUUGUUUCUGUUUGUUUUUUAAUAAAAAGGUUUAAAAAAAAAAAAAGGCAUUUUCAGCACUGCUGUGCCAACACAGGGAUAUCCCCUCCAUUGUAUGGGACACAAAGACACAUCAACUGCAAGCAGGGGAAGCAGCCUUCUCUGCCAGCUAUUUUUAGCCCUACUUCACUCGUCAUGUUAAAGACCAAACUUAGGAUAAUAAUGCUGGGCAAACUUUAAAAGCAUGAAUUUUAUGAAAACAAACCUGUCCUUUUAUAUAGAAGUUCCUUAACUGUGAAAUCCUAUAUACUCUUCUGAACUUAAUCUCAAGGGACCUAUAUACUCUACAGAAAGCUUGUUAGCUACUUCACAAAUAUAGACUCACAUGUCCAAACACUGAAGUGGUAGCCAUGUUUAAAGCCUGUUCCUCCCUUUUGAACUUCAAAUCUUACACACUUCUAAAAUAUGUGUUUCGGGAGAGUCUCAUCCAUUCUCUGUUCUUACUA
Molecule: long non-coding RNA, 2830 nt
Filed under: Canis lupus familiaris (dog)
Lineage: Eukaryota; Metazoa; Chordata; Mammalia; Carnivora; Canidae
Description: lncRNA (ENSCAFG00000050202.1)
Source: RNAcentral